AGAGGGCAAAAUAGUGGCCCUCUGUUUGAAGCAGAAGCCGUUUCACAUUAGAUGUUGCCUAUGUUCCAGUGGCACAUAAAAUCCCACAUUAAACAAGACAUCAUUUUGUUGUACAUCUUUCAUCAUUACAGUUGGGUAAGGAGGUUGGGGAGAUUUUGUCUCUCACCACCUCUCAGGAAGUUGGAUGUCAACAUAUGAACCCCUCCCCUCUGUUACCAAGGGUGAGAGAUAUUGUGGCUUCUUCUUGGAUAUCUGAAUGGUGGUGAGAUCAACCUCUGGGCCAGCCAAGUAUGGAACUCAAUCCAAAACAACGGACUUCUUUUGUUUCGUGUCAGUUCAGCUUCCUACAAACAAAAUUAAAGCAGCAUUGGUUUAGUAAUUGGAAAUGCAUAUCAAAGAAAAGAAGCUUAACUCAAAACAGAUUUUCCUAACCAUCUUCAAUGUACAUGUGUAGGAGAAAUGCAUUCUUUAUUUGUAGCAGUGCAAAUGUCAGUGAUUACAAACAUGUGUGUGACUGUU
Molecule: long non-coding RNA, 519 nt
Filed under: Homo sapiens (human)
Lineage: Eukaryota; Metazoa; Chordata; Mammalia; Primates; Hominidae
Description: long intergenic non-protein coding RNA 968
Source: RNAcentral